GCCCGGGUGGCUCAGUCGGUUGAGCAUCCGACUUCGGCUCUGGUCGUGAUCUCACAGUUCGUGGGUUCGAGCCCUACAUCGGGCU
Molecule: transfer RNA, 85 nt
Filed under: Felis catus (domestic cat)
Lineage: Eukaryota; Metazoa; Chordata; Mammalia; Carnivora; Felidae
Rfam family: tRNA
About the family: Transfer RNA (tRNA) molecules are approximately 80 nucleotides in length. Their secondary structure includes four short double-helical elements and three loops (D, anti-codon, and T loops).
Source: Rfam by way of RNAcentral